RNAcentral lists this non-coding RNA (98 nucleotides) under Cervus hanglu yarkandensis (Yarkand deer). The record is from RNAcentral. Lineage: Eukaryota; Metazoa; Chordata; Mammalia; Artiodactyla; Cervidae.
GUGUUGUAUGAAAGAAGAGAAGGUUAGCACUCCCCUUGACAAGGAUGGAAGAGGCUCUCGGGCCUGACAACACGAAAUUCAGGCUCCCAAGACUUUCU